UACUCCUACGGGAGGCAGCAGUGGGGAAUAUUGGACAAUGGGCGCAAGCCUGAUCCAGCCAUGCCGCGUGUGUGAAGAAGGCCUUUUGGUUGUAAAGCACUUUAAGCGAGGAGGAGGCUACUUGGAUUAAUACUCUAGGAUAGUGGACGUUACUCGCAGAAUAAGCACCGGCUAACUCUGUGCCAGCAGCCGCGGUAAUA
Molecule: ribosomal RNA, 200 nt
Filed under: uncultured bacterium
Lineage: Bacteria
Description: partial 16S ribosomal RNA
Rfam family: Bacterial small subunit ribosomal RNA
Source: RNAcentral